This 455-nucleotide ribosomal RNA is filed under the name uncultured bacterium. Its description in RNAcentral is "bacterial SSU rRNA". It matches the Rfam family "Bacterial small subunit ribosomal RNA", at positions 340 to 786 of the family's 1533-position model. The record is from RNAcentral.
UACGGAAGGCAGCAGUGGGGAAUAUUGCACAAUGGGCGAAAGCCUGAUGCAGCUAUGCCGCGUGUAUGAAGAAGGCCUUAGGGUUGUAAAGUACUUUCAUCGGGGAGGAAAAAACAAAACUAAUAAUUUUAUUUCUUGACGUUACCCGAAAAAGAAGCACCGGCUAACUCCGUGCCAGCAGCCGCGGUAAUACGGAGGGUGCUAGCGUUAAUCAGAAUUACUGGGCGUAAAGAGCACGUAGGUGGUUUUUUUAAGUCAGAUGUGAAAUCCCUGGGCUUAACCUGGAACUGCAUUUUGAAACUGAAAUACUAGAGUAUCGUAGAGGGAGGUAGAAUUCUAGGUGUAGCGGUGAAAUGCGUAGAUAUCUGGAGGAAUACCUGUGGCGAAAGCGGCCUCCUAAACGAAUACUGACACUGAGGUGCGAAAGCAUGGGGAGCAAACAGGGAUUAGAUACC